This 382-nucleotide ribosomal RNA is filed under the name Paracoccus sp. A510. RNAcentral describes it as "partial 16S ribosomal RNA". It matches the Rfam family "Bacterial small subunit ribosomal RNA", at positions 1026 to 1430 of the family's 1533-position model. Lineage: Bacteria; Pseudomonadati; Pseudomonadota; Alphaproteobacteria; Rhodobacterales; Paracoccaceae. The record is from RNAcentral.
ACCAGGAGNCAGGUGCUGCAUGGCUGUCGUCAGCUCGNGUCGNGAGAUGUUCGGUUAAGUCCGGCAACGAGCGCAACCCACGUCCNCAGUUGCCAGCAUUCAGUUGGGCACUCUGUGGAAACUGCCGAUGAUAAGUCNGAGNAAGGUGUGGAUGNCGUCAAGUCNUCAUGGCCCNUACGGGUUGGGNUACACNCNUGCUACAAUGGUGGUGNCAGUGGGUUAAUCCCCAAAAGCCAUNUCAGUUCGGAUUGUCCUCUGCAACUCNAGGUGCAUGAAGUUGGAAUCGCUAGUAAUCNCGGAACAGCAUGCCGCGGUGAAUACGUUCCCGGGCCNUGUACANACCGNCCGUCACACCAUGGGAGUUGGUUCUACCCGACGACGC